This 468-nucleotide ribosomal RNA is filed under the name uncultured bacterium. RNAcentral describes it as "partial 16S ribosomal RNA". It matches the Rfam family "Bacterial small subunit ribosomal RNA", at positions 28 to 507 of the family's 1533-position model. The record is from RNAcentral.
GACGAGCGCUGGCGGCGUGCUUAACACAUGCAAGUCGAACGGAAAGGCCCUGCUUUUGUGGGGUGCUCGAGUGGCGAACGGGUGAGUAACACGUGAGUAACCUGCCCUUGACUUUGGGAUAACUUCAGGAAACUGGGGCUAAUACCGGAUAGGAGCUCCUGCUGCAUGGUGGGGGUUGGAAAGUUUCGGCGGUUGGGGAUGGACUCGCGGCUUAUCAGCUUGUUGGUGGGGUAGUGGCUUACCAAGGCUUCGACGGGUAGCCGGCCUGAGAGGGUGACCGGCCACAUUGGGACUGAGAUACGGCCCAGACUCCUACGGGAGGCAGCAGUGGGGAAUAUUGCACAAUGGGCGGAAGCCUGAUGCAGCAACGCCGCGUGCGGGAUGACGGCCUUCGGGUUGUAAACCGCUUUCGCCUGUGACGAAGCGUGAGUGACGGUAAUGGGUAAAGAAGCACCGGCUAACUACGUG